This 1002-nucleotide unclassified non-coding RNA is filed under the name Hevea brasiliensis (rubber tree). The record is from RNAcentral. Lineage: Eukaryota; Viridiplantae; Streptophyta; Magnoliopsida; Malpighiales; Euphorbiaceae.
GGGCUUUUAAGAAAUGGGUGGCACGUGUCAUACACUUGAAGAGGCACGCCUGCUAGGGGGAUCUGAAAUUCUGAGGUGGAGAAUGAUAGAAUUGGUGCUGAGUCAAAGCACUAACAUUUUCAGUGAUUGAUUAGUAAUGCUCCAUAACUUUCUUAUUAUAUUUAUUAUUUUUUUUGUUUUUUACCGUGAGAUGACUGGGUUUCCCAGUAGAUUCUUCCUUGGGUAUAAUUUGGGAGACAAACGUUUUCAAGAUUUUUCUUUUUUUUUUUAGGUUACAAAUCCAGAAUUCUAUUUUCGUUGAAGAAAAGUUGAAAUACGGGAAGAUAAUUGAUGGCGGUGACAUAUCGGGUGCAUGUUCCGUGGUUUUUUCCCCAGGUAAACUGGGGAUUUGCAUUUAAGCCUCACCGGAUGUAAUGCUUGCAGAGAUGCUAAAUUGCUAUUUUAAAUUUCUGUUGUCCUUUUGAGGAUAAUUCACUUAUAACUCAAGUCUGAUCAAGCCUAAAUGCUAUGGUCUUCUUCGCCCUAGGCCUCAUCCGCUCCUAAUCAAAUGUGAAAUUUGGCAGAAUCACAUCAACACGUGCACAUAUAACCAUAUCAAACGCAGCAAAAGAAAUUGAUAUUUCCAUAACGGCAAAUAUGCUAUGACUGAUCACACAAAUUGAGAUAUGCUAGAACUUUCUAACAUUCUAAACUUUUCAAGUGCCCGAGGUGAACUUAAUGUUUUUCAUCCACCACGACAGUCAAAUUCAUCAGAACUAGUUAUUAGUCUAGGCAAAACAGGUGGUAUAUAAUAAAAUUUUUAAUAGAAACAGCAAUGUAGCGCACACACUAGAGCGGGAAAACCUGGUAAUUUUAUCUCUGACCCUCGAGAGCAGGACGUCAUACUGCUCUCAUACGGACAGCAUUCGCUAGGAGGCAAAGUCUCAAGCCCCACCAUUACUCGAUCCUUUGACCUACAUUUGGGCUGAAGGAUUCCAACCCCUGCUCCCCCAUCUUUUGUAC